AGGUAUUGCAUUCUGGGAUUAAAGGGGACACCUACCAAGCCCAGUUCAGUAUCAUUCAUAAUGACUACCUGGUCCUUGAAUGAAAACACUCAUGAUCAGAUCCAGAUGGAGAGGUCUCUGCUACCUUUCCAGCACCACAUAUGCCUGCAUUCUGCCAUGCUUCCCACCAUGAUGAUAAUGGAAUAAACCUCUGAAGAAGAGGCCACAAGAUGACAACGAAGAAAACAAACACCCUGCUCCUCAUUCAAAGAGGAAUAAGAAGGACCAGGCCUUCCAGGAUACUUGCACAGUUGAGG
Non-coding RNA from Cricetulus griseus (Chinese hamster), 296 nucleotides. The record is from RefSeq and is a predicted model, not a curated record. Lineage: Eukaryota; Metazoa; Chordata; Mammalia; Rodentia; Cricetidae.